UUCGGAUUGUAGGCUGCAACUCGCCUACAUGAAGUUGGAAUCGCUAGUAAUCGCGAAUCAGAAUGUCGCGGUGAAUACGUUCCCGGGUCUUGUACACACCGCCCGUCACACCACGAGAGUUUACAACACCCGAAGUCAGUGGCCUAACCGCAAGGAGGGAGCUGCCUAAGGUGGGGUAGAUGAUUGGGGUGAAGUCGUAACAAGGUAAC
This 209-nucleotide ribosomal RNA is filed under the name uncultured bacterium. Its description in RNAcentral is "partial 16S ribosomal RNA". It matches the Rfam family "Bacterial small subunit ribosomal RNA", at positions 1292 to 1500 of the family's 1533-position model. The record is from RNAcentral.